CAGGAUGAACGCUAGCGGCAGGCUUAAUACAUGCAAGGCGAAGGGGCAGCAAUGUCACUGUCGUACGGGUGCGUAACGCGUAUGCAACCUACCUAUCACUGGGGGAUAGCCCGGGGAAACCCGGAUUAAUACCGCAUAAAACAGGGGCACCGCAUGGUGAUAUUUGUUAAAGAUUUAUUGGUGAUAGAUGGGCAUGCGUUCGAUUAGCUAGUUGGCGGGGUAACGGCCCACCAAGGCGACGAUCGAUAGGGGAGCUGAGAGGUUGAUCCCCCACACGGGCACUGAGAUACGGGCCCGACUCCUACGGGAGGCAGCAGUAGGGAAUAUUGGGCAAUGGAUGCAAGUCUGACCCAGCCAUGCCGCGUGCCGGAUGAAGGCCCUCAGGGUUGUAAACGGCUUUUAUUCGGGAAGAAGAGCAGGNAUGCGUCCUUGUGUGACGGUACCGAAGAAU
RNAcentral lists this ribosomal RNA (451 nucleotides) under soil bacterium 08G-13. RNAcentral's name for it is "bacterial SSU rRNA". It matches the Rfam family "Bacterial small subunit ribosomal RNA", at positions 25 to 486 of the family's 1533-position model. The record is from RNAcentral.